GCAGCAGCCGCGGUAAUACGUAAGGGGCAAGCGUUGUCCGGAAUCACUGGGCGUAAAGCGCACGUAGGCGGUUUAGCAAGUUAGGGGUGCAAGCUCCAGGCUUAACCUGGAAACUGCCUCUAAAACUACUUCACUUGAGUAUUAGAGGGGAAGCUGGAAUUCACGGUGUAGCGGUGAAAUGCGUAGAUAUCGUGGAGAACACCCGUGGCGAAGGCGGGCUUCUGGCUAAUAACUGACGCUGAGGUGCGAAAGCUAGGGGAGCGAACGGGAUUAGAUACCCCGGUAGUCCUAGCCGUAAACGAUGAGAACUAGGUGUGGGGGGUAAAACCUCCGUGCCGACGCCAACGCAUUAAGUUCUCCGCCUGGGGACUACGGCCGCAAGGUUAAAACUCAAAGGAAUUGACGGGGGCCCGCACA
RNAcentral lists this ribosomal RNA (417 nucleotides) under uncultured bacterium. RNAcentral's name for it is "bacterial SSU rRNA". It matches the Rfam family "Bacterial small subunit ribosomal RNA", at positions 508 to 927 of the family's 1533-position model. The record is from RNAcentral.